UGAAUGGUGUAAAAUCGAUUG
RNAcentral lists this non-coding RNA (21 nucleotides) under Arabidopsis thaliana (thale cress). The record is from RNAcentral. Lineage: Eukaryota; Viridiplantae; Streptophyta; Magnoliopsida; Brassicales; Brassicaceae.